AGCAAGCGCUGACUACUACCCCUGUUUUGAGACUUCCUAAUUUCCAGCAGGCAUUCACGGUAGCUUGUGACGCUUCCAUGGAUGGGGUAGGAGCUGUAUUGAUGCAAGAAGGUCACCCAAUUGCUUACUUUAGCAAAGGAUUCAGUUUUAACAACCGAUACAAAUCCACGUACGACCGAGAACUACUUGCCUUGGUUCUGGCUCUUCAAAAGUGGCGGCACUAUUUACUAGGGCACCAUUUCUUCGUGGAAACUGAUCAUAGCAGCUUGAAACACUUGUUGGACCAGCGCCUUUGUUGACAUGUAGUUAC
Molecule: long non-coding RNA, 310 nt
Organism: Neltuma alba
Lineage: Eukaryota; Viridiplantae; Streptophyta; Magnoliopsida; Fabales; Fabaceae
Exons: 3
Source: RefSeq, a predicted model, not a curated record